UUAUUAUGUUGUAGUCUGUGAACU
RNAcentral lists this non-coding RNA (24 nucleotides) under Cricetulus griseus (Chinese hamster). Lineage: Eukaryota; Metazoa; Chordata; Mammalia; Rodentia; Cricetidae. The record is from RNAcentral.